Molecule: ribosomal RNA, 546 nt
Filed under: Triticum aestivum (bread wheat)
Lineage: Eukaryota; Viridiplantae; Streptophyta; Magnoliopsida; Poales; Poaceae
Description: partial small subunit ribosomal RNA
Source: RNAcentral
AUGCAACUCCAAGAAAGAUUGGUCGGUGCUGCGGCUGGCGUGAAGUUCGAUCCCAGGGAUCAGGAGCUGAUCGAGCACCUUGAGGCCAAAGUGAGUGCCGACAGCACGAGAUCGCACCCUCUCAUCGAUUUAUUCAUACCAACCAUCGACAGCGAGCACGGCAUAUGCUACACCCAUCCUGAGAAACUUCCAGGUAUCACACUGAGUGGCCUAAGCAAGCAUUUCUUCCAGCGCAAUUCCAAGGCAUUCAAAAGGGGCACGUGGAUGCGUCGCAAGAUACAGUCAGAGUGCAGCAUGCACGCGAUGUGGCACAAGACUGGCAAUACCUUGCCGGUGAUGGUCAAUGGCCGGCAGAUGGGCAACAAAAAGGGUCUGGGGCUGCACACCAACAAGAACUUCGACCAGCAGAGGACCAACUGGGUGAUGCACCAGUACCACCUCGGGGACCUGGAAAUUCUCUCAUUUAUUGAGCAGGCCCAGCCCACGACGACAACGGGGCACAAAGAUCCAGCAGGUAUCAACUGGCCUCUGGCCCACCAGCUUUAG